AAAAUAUUAAGUUAUAUUAAACUAAAAAUUUUCAAAAUUUUAAAAAAGAAUAAGAUUUCUUAUAUUUUU
RNAcentral lists this transfer RNA (69 nucleotides) under Psephenothrips eriobotryae. RNAcentral describes it as "tRNA-Trp". The record is from RNAcentral. Lineage: Eukaryota; Metazoa; Arthropoda; Insecta; Thysanoptera; Phlaeothripidae.